RNAcentral lists this long non-coding RNA (1998 nucleotides) under Homo sapiens (human). RNAcentral's name for it is "non-protein coding lnc-MKLN1-11:1". Lineage: Eukaryota; Metazoa; Chordata; Mammalia; Primates; Hominidae. The record is from RNAcentral.
AAUUUUUAACCUCUCACAAGAUCAAGGAGAAUAAAAGAGUCAUUCUGAGGAACUAAAUUACAGAAAGAACACCAUGUUAAUGACAACUGACCACACCAGGUCCCCCAGAAGGCUCCCACCUUUCAUUUCUCUUGAGUCCAUGAACUCUGAUAUCAGGUUAUUUUGUGGUUUAUUUGCUUGAUUUUGGGUUUGUUCUGGACUCUGAUUUUUAAAAUUUCCUUUUAAGCAUUAUUUUCAAGCUUCAUGGACAAACCACAGAGACCCAGCUUUAAGCCACCCCCGCCCUCAGUUGAGGGGCCUAAAGACAUCCUCCUCUAUUGACAUAUCAAUAAUAAUAUAUCCAUUUAUCCAUUUGGCCAGCACUUACUCUGUCAAAGUGUUAGUUUUUAGGUUUGCCCAAGAAAUUAGGACAACAUCAUUAAAUUCACACAAACUUCUUCCUUAGGAUCCAGAAACCCGGUUGUCCCCCAAGAGGUAGAAAAGGCUCAAGAAUAAUGCCACAUGGACUUGGCUCCCCAGCCCCAGUUCCACUCAUCAAAAGCAAAUACCAUGUGCAUGUUCUGUGUGUGGCACUGGAGACCCAAAGACAAACUGUUGAUGUUCCUGCCCUAAAGGGUCUCAUGCAGCACUCAGUAAGAAAGACAGGCAGUUGAUUAAAUAACCCAAUCCUCCAACUUCUGCUGACAUAGCACUGUUCCCCCAAAUAUUGGAAGUGAGGGUAGGAAGAGCACCCUAGAAGUUCCAUCACCCACCCCACCCAACCAUCACACUCUCCUGGUGAAACCAUCUAUGCUAUUCCCCAAUUAUCUUGUUUCUGUGAGAAACACAUAUGUUAUUCUCAAGAGUCAUGACGGUACCUGGAAGGGAGCACUAGCUGUGGCAGCUUGGUGUUUCAUGCUGCAGAGGUGAUUGUUGCUCUGUGGGCCAGAGGUCUAGUGUUCUCAAGUCGUGGAAAUAGUGAUUCUUCCCGUUGAAAACUUAACACGUGCUUUAGAGAAAAGAGUAGGAGUAUUUAACUCAGAGCUCCAGCUUCUCACCACCCCUGGCACAUGGCUGGCACAUGGUAUGUCCUGGGUGAUUAUUUCUUGAGUCAUUGGUUGAUGCCAAAGUUCUCUACUAGGCAACAAUCCCUAGAGAUUAGAAAGGCCUAAAGCAGGCUGUGUCCUGGGUUGUCACCUCUCCCCUAGCAUGUCAUAGUUCUGAGGAUUGUGCCCAUCCCUGAGGUGUUCUUAUGAGCUCCUUAUUCCCUAAAAACUACCAGACAUUCCAAGAAGUUUCAUGGAUAGCAGGCAUGGCAGAUGAUUAACUUCCUCCUGUCAUUUCACCUAGGUCUGUGAUCUCUCCUGCGCAAAAUGAGGUUCAAAGAAAGAGAAUGAGAAUGAUAAUGAUUAUUGAAAAGUCCCUCCCACCUCUGAUAUUCUUUGAGCUGCUAAGAUUUGAAAUUUCACUCAAUGGUAUCAGGAGGUUCUGCUAGUUGAGAUUUAGUCUACUUCAAACCAGUGACAGCCAAGACAAUUCUGAAAUGGGCACUGGAUCUUUUUUUUUUUUUUUUUUUUGAAAUGGAGUCUCACUCUUUGUUGCCCAGGCUGGAGUGCAAUGGCGCGAUCUUGGCUCACUACAACCUCCGCCUCCCAGGCUCAAGCAUUCUCCUGCCUCAGCCUCCUGAGUAGCUGGGAUUAUAGGUGCACACUACCACACCCAGCUAAUUUUUAUAUUUUUUAUGGAGAUGGGGUUUCACCAUGUUGGCCAAACUGGUCUCGAACUCCUGACUUCAGAUGAUCCGUCCACCUCAGCCUCCCAAAGUGCUGGGAUUACAGGCAUGAGCAACCGUGCUCGGCCAGAUCUUUUAUUUAUAACAGAUGCCAUAACAUUUCAUACAAAAUUCCCCAUGAUUGGAGAUAUUCAAGUGGAGGCAGGACAAGUGGCUGGGUUGUUGUGUGUGGGCAAGGGUGGCUGUGUACUAUGGGAAUGGGUACAUUAGCAUCCAAAGGGUGAUUA